GAUGAACGCUGGCGGUAUGCUUAACACAUGCAAGUCGAACGAAAGUUUGUAAGAACUUUAGUGGCGGACGGGUGAGUAACACGUGAGAAUCUACCUUUAGGAAAGGCAUAACAGUUGGAAACGACUGCUAAAGCCUUAUAUGCUGCAAAGUGAAAAAGAGAAAUCUGCCUGAAGAUGAGCUCGCGCCUGAUUAGCUAGUUGGUAAGGUAACUGCUUACCAAGGCAACGAUCAGUAGCUGGUUUGAGAGGACGACCAGCCACACUGGGACUGAGACACGGCCCAG
This 284-nucleotide ribosomal RNA is filed under the name uncultured bacterium. RNAcentral describes it as "partial 16S ribosomal RNA". It matches the Rfam family "Bacterial small subunit ribosomal RNA", at positions 28 to 334 of the family's 1533-position model. The record is from RNAcentral.